ACAAUAAACUGAAACUAACUACUUCUACUCCCUCUGUGCUAGUUGUGCUUUUGGGUCCAGCCUCUGUGUACCAUAACAUGUGGAUACAAUACACAGAGCUGAAUAAAGCUCCUGGAUCCUCCCAUGCUGCUAAGCAUCAGUAUCUUAGCAUUGUGAGCAUGUUAGCAUGAUGACAUUAGCAUUUAGCUCAGUAAAGCACUGUUCUUGGUCAUUGUAUGAGUGCAAUUUUUGUUGAGAUGUCUACAUAAUGACUUUUAUUCUAAAGAAGAUCAUAGAGAAAUUUGCAUGGAUCGGCCUGUAUAGAGAGUCAUGGAAGUGGUCAGAUGGUCAGCCCGUGCAUAUGACUUCAAUCAGCAACUGGAAUAAGGGUCAGCCUGAUAAAAUCAAACAUUCAUGUGUGACUACAACUCACAGUACAUAGGAUGCACGGCUUUGUAACGACAAAUAUGCUUUUGUCUGCAGCGAAGUUCAAACAGUGACUGAAGGACUACGACCUGGGUGAACCAGUCAGACUGAAAUGGAUAAAGCAGCCUGAUGGAAAGAUCUUCCAUUUUGAAAAAAAAAAAACAGAAGAUGAGAAGGGGAAAAA
Molecule: long non-coding RNA, 589 nt
Organism: Siniperca chuatsi (mandarin fish)
Lineage: Eukaryota; Metazoa; Chordata; Actinopteri; Centrarchiformes; Sinipercidae
Exons: 2
Source: RefSeq, a predicted model, not a curated record